AAGCCGCCGCGGUAAUACCAGCCCCGCGAGUGGUCGGGACGGUUAUUGGGCCUAAAGCGUCCGUAGCCGGGUUGGUUAGUCUCCCGGGAAAUCUGGCCGCUUAACGGUCAGAAUUCCGGGAGAUACUGCCAGCCUAGGGACCGGGAGAGGCCGAGGGUAUUCCCGGAGUAGGGGUGAAAUCCUAUAAUCCCGGGAGGACCACCUGUGGCGAAGGCGCUCGGCUGGAACGGGUCCGACGGUGAGGCACGAAGGCCAGGGGAGCAAACCGGAUUAGAUACCCGGGUAGUCCUGGCUGUAAACGAUGCGGACUUUGUGUCGGACAAGCUAUGAGCUUGUCCGGUGCCGGAGGGAAACCGUUAAGUCCGCCGCCUGGGGAGUACGGCCGCAAGGCUGAAACUUAAAGGAAUUGGCGGG
Molecule: ribosomal RNA, 414 nt
Filed under: uncultured microorganism
Description: bacterial SSU rRNA
Rfam family: Archaeal small subunit ribosomal RNA
Source: RNAcentral